GCUCGGUGCUGUUAGCCAGCCACUCAGCUAACGAUAGUCCAGCGCCCGCGCCUGCUCUGUCCCCCACCUCAGUGGGAGAGAUGCUGCCUCUUUGACUACAACUUCGAAUGAAGACGUCAACCACGGGUUCCUCGGCGUGGCUGGACUAGGCUUGCCUAGCCUUCCAACCUUUGUGGUGUUCAGUUACUUCAUCUUCUAUUUCAAGGUAGAUGCCUCAACAAGACGA
Siniperca chuatsi (mandarin fish) is the source of this 226-nucleotide long non-coding RNA. RefSeq lists it as uncharacterized. Lineage: Eukaryota; Metazoa; Chordata; Actinopteri; Centrarchiformes; Sinipercidae. The transcript has 2 exons. The record is from RefSeq and is a predicted model, not a curated record.